GAUGAACGCUGGCGGCGUGCCUAAUACAUGCCAGUCGAGCGAACAGACGAGGAGCUUGCUCCUCUGACGUUAGCGGCGGACGGGUGAGUAACACGUGGAUAACCUACUUCUAAGACUGGGAUAACUUCGGGAAACCGGAUCUAAUACUGGAUAAUAUAUUGAACCGCAUGGUUCAAUAGUGAAAGACGGUUUUGCUGUCACUUAUAGAUGGAUCCGCGCCGCAUUAGCUAGUUGGUAAGGUAACGGCUUACCAAGGCAACGAUGCGUAGCCGACCUGAGAGGGUGAUCGGCCACACUGGAACUGAGACACGGUCCAGACUCCUACGGGAGGCAGCAGUAGGGAAUCUUCCGCAAUGGGCGAAAGCUUGACGGAGCAACGCCGCGUGAGUGAUGAAGGUCUUCGGAUCGUAAAGCUCUGUUAUUAGGGAAGAACAAAUGUGUAAGUAACUAUGCACGUCUUGACGGUACCUAAUCAGAAAGCCACGGCUAACUACGUG
Molecule: ribosomal RNA, 497 nt
Filed under: uncultured bacterium
Lineage: Bacteria
Description: partial 16S ribosomal RNA
Rfam family: Bacterial small subunit ribosomal RNA
Source: RNAcentral